GGGAAUGUCAGCUGGCAAAGGCAGCCUCACCCUGGUUGUUUUAGGCAUGUUACCCGUUUUGGUACUGGCGUCUGCAUCUUUCUGACCCUGAGACCUCUGCACUGAGGGAAGAGGAUCCCUAGGGGCUGGCUCGGGAAGGCCAGUGUAGUCAGUGACUUCUUAACCUCAAGAUACUAAUUAAAAAAUGCCCUUGAUUCAGCUCCAAGUCAGAAUUACCACCGAGAACCCAGGGCUGCUGGAAGCUGACAUGUCUCCUGAGUGUAUGAUUUUUGG
Long non-coding RNA from Colius striatus (speckled mousebird), 273 nucleotides. RefSeq lists it as uncharacterized. The transcript is spliced from 3 exons. Lineage: Eukaryota; Metazoa; Chordata; Aves; Coliiformes; Coliidae. The record is from RefSeq and is a predicted model, not a curated record.